GGAAGUAAAAGUCGUAACAAGGUUUCCGUAGGUGAACCUGCGGAAGGAUCAUUAUCGAAUUCUGAGGGGGGGGGGGGGGAAGAUGGAGGAGUGAAGACUGUCGCUGGCCCCCAUCUCUGGGUGGGGCAUGUGCACGUCUUCCUUUUCGUCGACCCCCUUUCUCACACACAACACACACCUGUGCACCUGUUGUAGGUCCUCGGAAGAGGAUCUAUGUUUUUCACAUCACACACCAUCGUAUGUCUAUAGAAUGUAUUGAAGACCGUCCGGGAUGGAUGGUCAAUAAUAUUAAAUCAUACAACUUUCAGCAACGGAUCUCUUGGCUCUCGCAUCGAUGAAGAACGCAGCGAAUUGCGAUAAGUAAUGUGAAUUGCAGAUUUUCAGUGAAUCAUCGAAUCUUUGAACGCACCUUGCGCUCCUUGGUAUUCCGAGGAGCAUGCCUGUUUGAGUGUCAUUUGAAUUUCUCAAACCCCAUGUCUUUUUUAGAGCAUGAGCUUUGGAGUUGGGGGCUGCUGGCGGCGAAAAGCCGUCGGCUCUCCUGAAAUGCAUUAGCAAAGGACGGGGCAAGUCUUUGACGUGCAUGGCCUUCGACGUGAUAAUGAUCGUCGUGGCUAGGAGCGUCGGACAUGCAUGAAUCUGUCUGUGCUGCUUCUAAUCCCCUAGGCUAGCCUCGGCUUGGUCACUUUUAACUACUAGUUGGUCGUGAGGCUGACGAACGUUGAGUUGGGCUGAGCAAGGCUUUUGUCUCUAUUCGAAACUUGACCUCAAAUCAGGUAGGACUACCCGCUGAACUUAAGCAUAUCAAUAAGCGGAGGA
This 816-nucleotide ribosomal RNA is filed under the name Butyriboletus roseoflavus. RNAcentral's name for it is "eukaryotic LSU rRNA". The stretch from base 300 to 454 matches the Rfam family "5.8S ribosomal RNA". The record is from RNAcentral. Lineage: Eukaryota; Fungi; Basidiomycota; Agaricomycetes; Boletales; Boletaceae.